RNAcentral lists this ribosomal RNA (695 nucleotides) under uncultured Gilliamella sp. Its description in RNAcentral is "bacterial SSU rRNA". It matches the Rfam family "Bacterial small subunit ribosomal RNA", at positions 662 to 1357 of the family's 1533-position model. Lineage: Bacteria; Pseudomonadati; Pseudomonadota; Gammaproteobacteria; Orbales; Orbaceae. The record is from RNAcentral.
UAGAAUUCCACGUGUAGCGGUGAAAUGCGUAGAGAUGUGGAGGAAUACCGGUGGCGAAGGCGGCCUUCUGGACAGAUACUGACGCUGAGAUGCGAAAGCGUGGGGAGCAAACAGGAUUAGAUACCCUGGUAGUCCACGCUGUAAACGAUGUCGAUUUGGAGUUUGUUGCCUAGAGUGAUGGGCUCCGAAGCUAACGCGAUAAAUCGACCGCCUGGGGAGUACGGCCGCAAGGUUAAAACUCAAAUGAAUUGACGGGGGCCCGCACAAGCGGUGGAGCAUGUGGUUUAAUUCGAUGCAACGCGAAGAACCUUACCUGGUCUUGACAUCCACAGAAUCUUGCAGAGAUGCGAGAGUGCCUUCGGGAACUGUGAGACAGGUGCUGCAUGGCUGUCGUCAGCUCGUGUUGUGAAAUGUUGGGUUAAGUCCCGCAACGAGCGCAACCCUUAUCCUUUGUUGCCAGCGAUUAGGUCGGGAACUCAAAGGAGACUGCCGUUGAUAAAGCGGAGGAAGGUGGGGACGACGUCAAGUCAUCAUGGCCCUUACGACCAGGGCUACACACGUGCUACAAUGGCGUAUACAAAGGGAGGCGACCUCGCGAGAGCAAGCGGACCUCAUAAAGUACGUCUAAGUCCGGAUUGGAGUCUGCAACUCGACUCCAUGAAGUCGGAAUCGCUAGUAAUCGUGAAUCAGAAUGU